AGCGAACGCUGGCGGCAGGCCUAGCACAUGCAAGUCGAACGAACCUUUCGGGGUUAGUGGCGGACGGGUGAGUAACACGUGGGAACGUGCCUUUAGGUUCGGAAUAACUCAGGGAAACUUGUGCUAAUACCGAAUGUGCCCUUCGGGGGAAAGAUUAAUCGCCUUUAGAGCGGCCCGCGUCUGAUUAGCUAGUUGGUUGAGGUAAUGGCUCACCAAGGCGACGAUCAGUAGCUGGUCUGAGAGGAUGAUCAGCCACAUUGGGACUGAGACACGGCCCAAACUCCUACGGGAGGCAGCAGUGGGGAAUCUUGCGCAAUGGGCGAAAGCCUGACGCAGCCAUGCCGCGUGAAUGAUGAAGGUCUUAGGAUUGUAAAAUUCUUUCACCGGGGACGAUAAUGACGGUACCCGGAGAAGAAGCCCCGGCUAACUUCGUG
Molecule: ribosomal RNA, 434 nt
Filed under: uncultured bacterium
Lineage: Bacteria
Description: partial 16S ribosomal RNA
Rfam family: Bacterial small subunit ribosomal RNA
Source: RNAcentral